RNAcentral lists this ribosomal RNA (504 nucleotides) under uncultured Glomus. RNAcentral describes it as "SSU rRNA". It matches the Rfam family "Eukaryotic small subunit ribosomal RNA", at positions 569 to 1078 of the family's 1831-position model. Lineage: Eukaryota; Fungi; Glomeromycota; Glomeromycetes; Glomerales; Glomeraceae. The record is from RNAcentral.
AGCAGCCGCGGUAAUUCCAGCUCCAAUAGCGUAUAUUAAAGUUGUUGCAGUUAAAAAGCUCGUAGUUGAAUUUCGGGAUCAAAUUGUCGGUCGUGCUUCGGUACGCACUGGCAUUAUUGGUUCCUACCUUCUGAAGAACCGCGAUGUCAUUAAUUUGGUGUCGUGGGGAAUCAGGACUGUUACUUUGAAAAAUUAGAGUGUUUAAAGCAGGCGCACGCUUGAAUACAUUAGCAUGGAAUAAUGAAAUAGGACGUUUGAUUCUAUUUUGUUGGUUUCUAGGAUCGACGUAAUGAUUAAUAGGGAUAGUUGGGGGCAUUAGUAUUCAAUUGUCAGAGGUGAAAUUCUUGGAUUUAUUGAAGACUAACUACUGCGAAAGCAUUUGCCAAGGAUGUUUUCAUUAAUCAAGAACGAAAGUUAGGGGAUCGAAGACGAUCAGAUACCGUCGUAGUCUUAACCAUAAACUAUGCCGACUAGGGAUCGGAUGAUGUAAUUUUUAAUGACUCA